UUUUUUUUUUUUUUUUUUUUUUUUUUUUUCCUAUGACGCGGCGGCAGGCCUAACACAUGCAAGUCGAGCGGUAGAGAGAAGCUUGCUUCUCUUGAGAGCGGCGGACGGGUGAGUAAUGCCUAGGAAUCUGCCUGGUAGUGGGGGAUAACGUUCGGAAACGGACGCUAAUACCGCAUACGUCCUACGGGAGAAAGCAGGGGACCUUCGGGCCUUGCGCUAUCAGAUGAGCCUAGGUCGGAUUAGCUAGUUGGUGAGGUAAUGGCUCACCAAGGCGACGAUCCGUAACUGGUCUGAGAGGAUGAUCAGUCACACUGGAACUGAGACACGGUCCAGACUCCUACGGGAGGCAGCAGUGGGGAAUAUUGGACAAUGGGCGAAAGCCUGAUCCAGCCAUGCCGCGUGUGUGAAGAAGGUCUUCGGAUUGUAAAGCACUUUAAGUUGGGAGGAAGGGCAGUUACCUAAUACGUGAUUGUUUUGACGUUACCGACAGAAUAAGCACCGGCUAACUCUGUGCCAGCAGCCGCGGUAAUACAGAGGGUGCAAGCGUUAAUCGGAAUUACUGGGCGUAAAGCGCGCGUAGGUGGUUAGUUAAGUUGGAUGUGAAAUCCCCGGGCUCAACCUGGGAACUGCAUUCAAAACUGACUGACUAGAGUAUGGUAGAGGGUGGUGGAAUUUCCUGUGUAGCGGUGAAAUGCGUAGAUAUAGGAAGGAACACCAGUGGCGAAGGCGACCACCUGGACUGAUACUGACACUGAGGUGCGAAAGCGUGGGGAGCAAACAGGAUUAGAUACCCUGGUAGUCCACGCCGUAAACGAUGUCAACUAGCCGUUGGGAGCCUUGAGCUCUUAGUGGCGCAGCUAACGCAUUAAGUGACCGCC
This 878-nucleotide ribosomal RNA is filed under the name Pseudomonas veronii. Its description in RNAcentral is "bacterial SSU rRNA". It matches the Rfam family "Bacterial small subunit ribosomal RNA", at positions 1 to 873 of the family's 1533-position model. The record is from RNAcentral. Lineage: Bacteria; Pseudomonadati; Pseudomonadota; Gammaproteobacteria; Pseudomonadales; Pseudomonadaceae.